RNAcentral lists this transfer RNA (65 nucleotides) under Histeroidea sp. 3 KM-2017. RNAcentral's name for it is "tRNA-Trp". Lineage: Eukaryota; Metazoa; Arthropoda; Insecta; Coleoptera. The record is from RNAcentral.
AAGGACUUAGGUUAAUUCAAACCUUCAGCCUUCAAAGUUGAUAUUAAAGUUUUCUUUAGGCCUUA